This is an unclassified non-coding RNA of Papio anubis (olive baboon), 148 nucleotides long. It matches the Rfam family "Metazoan signal recognition particle RNA". From Rfam's summary of the family: The signal recognition particle (SRP) is a universally conserved ribonucleoprotein. It is involved in the co-translational targeting of proteins to membranes. The eukaryotic SRP consists of a 300-nucleotide 7S RNA and six proteins: SRPs 72, 68, 54, 19, 14, and 9. The record is from Ensembl. Lineage: Eukaryota; Metazoa; Chordata; Mammalia; Primates; Cercopithecidae.
GCUGGGCGUGGUGGCGCACCCCUGUAAUCCCAGCUACUUGGGAGGCUGAGGUAGGAGAAUUGCUUGAACCUGGGAGGCGGAGGUUGCAGUGAGCCGAGAUUGCGCCACUGCACUCCAGCCUGGGUGACAGAGCAAGACUCUGUCUCCA